AUUGAACGCUAGCGGGAUGCUUUACACAUGCAAGUCGAACGGCAGCGCGGACUUCGGUCUGGCGGCGAGUGGCGAACGGGUGAGUAAUGUAUCGGAACGUGCCCAGUAGCGGGGGAUAACUACGCGAAAGCGUAGCUAAUACCGCAUACGCCCUACGGGGGAAAGCAGGGGAUCGUAAGACCUUGCACUAUUGGAGCGGCCGAUAUCGGAUUAGCUAGUUGGUGAGGUAACGGCUCACCAAGGCGACGAUCCGUAGCUGGUUUGAGAGGACGACCAGCCACACGGGGACUGAGACAGGGACCCGAAUCCUACGGGAGGCAGCAGUGGGGAAUAUUGGACAAUGGGGGAAAACCUGAUACAACCCUCCCGCGUGUGGGAUGAAGGCCUUCGGAUUGUAGAGAACUUUUGGCAGGAAAGAAACAUCGCGGGCUAAUACCCCGUGGAACUGACGGUACCUGCAGAAUAAGCAACGGCUAACUACGUG
RNAcentral lists this ribosomal RNA (484 nucleotides) under uncultured bacterium. RNAcentral describes it as "partial 16S ribosomal RNA". It matches the Rfam family "Bacterial small subunit ribosomal RNA", at positions 29 to 507 of the family's 1533-position model. The record is from RNAcentral.